Molecule: ribosomal RNA, 253 nt
Filed under: uncultured bacterium
Lineage: Bacteria
Description: partial 16S ribosomal RNA
Rfam family: Bacterial small subunit ribosomal RNA
Source: RNAcentral
UACGUAGGGUGCAAGCGUUGUCCGGAAUUAUUGGGCGUAAAGAGUUCGUAGGCGGUUUGUCGCGUCCGUUGUGAAAGCUUGGGGCUCAACCCCAGGUCUGCAGUGGAUACGGGCAGACUAGAGUCAGGUAGGGGAGAACGGAAUUCCUGGUGUAGCGGUGAAAUGCGCAGAUAUCAGGAGGAACACCGGUGGCGAAGGCGGUUCUCUGGGCCUGUACUGACGCUGAGGAACGAAAGCGUGGGGAGCGAACAGG